UACAGAGGGUGCAAGCGUUAAUCGGAGUUACUGGGCGUAAAGAGCUCGUAGGUGGUUUGUCGCGUUGUUCGUGAAAACCGGGGGCUUAACCCUCGGCGUGCGGGCGAUACGGGCAGACUUGAGUACUGCAGGGGAGACUGGAAUUCCUGGUGUAGCGGUGGAAUGCGCAGAUAUCAGGAGGAACACCGGUGGCGAAGGCGGGUCUCUGGGCAGUAACUGACGCUGAGGAGCGAAAGCGUGGGGAGCGAACAGG
This 253-nucleotide ribosomal RNA is filed under the name uncultured bacterium. RNAcentral's name for it is "partial 16S ribosomal RNA". It matches the Rfam family "Bacterial small subunit ribosomal RNA", at positions 524 to 776 of the family's 1533-position model. The record is from RNAcentral.